CCCGAGAAUGCCGACUCGACCUCGCCCUUUAUCAGACCUUUGCUCUUCCUCUUCUUCGUUACGUUUCAUGAUUUGAACCUCAAACAAUCAAUACAUCCUCCACUUCGUCUCUCUUUACUCUCAUUUAUGGAUUCGCUUUGUUUUUCUCAUCAAGAUUUUAUUUAUAAAACUCUCGAUCGGAGUUUUAUUUCGAUUAAAUUUCGUUCUAUAUUCUCAUUAGUACAUCGCAAUUGUCGUGAGUUCCAACGGAAAAUCCAAGUUAUCUGGUGAUUGCUGCUCGGAUAAACCAAAAGGCGUUGAGGCUGACUCCUUUUCCGGUCCGAUCAAGCCCAUCGGCACACCCGAUGUCUCUUCCGGUCUCUCCAUCAGCGAUCCCCCCUCGAAGAAAGCCAAGGUCAAGCGUCGGUCUCCUAUGUUCUUCUUCUUCUUCAGGCAAGAAAGGGGAGGUUGAAGGAAGCUGAGGCGAGGAACUACUUCCAACAGCUUAUUAACGCUGUUGACUAUUGCUAUAGCAGAGGAGUUUAUCAUAGAGACCUUAAGUUCUACCUCGUGGUUGCAGCCUGAAAAUUUGCUUUUGGAUGCAAAUGGGACUCUGAAAGUCUCUGAUUUUGGAUUGAGUGCUCUACCCCAGCAAGUCCGAGCCGCCUUUUCCUCAAUGCAACCUCCGGAACACACUUCUACUUUGACCAAGAAAGUGUAACCGGCCAGAGUUUUCUGCAAGGCUACGUAUAUUCAAACUAAAACUUUUUACAAAACUUGCUUCCUACUUGCGUACUUAUACCCUGUACAACACAAUUGUCUGUAAGGUUUUGUGGAUCUGACAUUGGUAACUCCUCCACUCCUUCCAAGUAUGGCGGUGUACAGAAAAUUGAGGUAGCAACAAUUGUGGAGUUUAUUGUCUGUGUCGUGAAUUUACCACCUCAAACCCAAAGACUGUAGAAUUCCACUGCACUGCCCAAGUCGAUGACAUUGAGAAAACUAUUGGACCAAUGCUUCAUCAUCAAAGGUUUGCUUACAGGGAGGUGAUGGCUACCCUGGAAAUGAUAUUAUGGGUGCUGUAACUCUCACUAUUAACCGUCUCCUGUGAUGAGGAGCACUGGUUCACAGAAUACCACAUGGAGCAACACUGCUCCAAUUUUUGAAGGAAGCAUGGCGGAGUCAGCAGCUCUACCUGGUCAACCUGAUGCAUUUUUAGCACCGGAAAGGAUACUACAGAGGCUGAAAAGGGGUGCAGUUUGAAGAAGGCGCCCAAAGCCUGGUCGCUCCAACUAUAGAGACCCAUGACAAUAACAUAGGUGAAGAACCAAUUCCACACUGAACGUGCUACGUUUGAGUCAAUAAUUGUCGUUCUCUACUUUUUUUCUUUCUUUGAAUCCAAGUUAUAUGGGUUUUGUUGUCUUUUUAGGUUGUUUGGUUAUAUCAUACAUGAGUACUUUGGUCUCAUUACUGUAGGAAUAUUUUAGGGUCUAGCGAUUACAUAUUCCUAAAAUUGUUUAGUUGUUUGAUUUCGAAUACUUGAUGUCAACAUCAUAAAUAUUUGGAAUAGUACAUGUAGCUUCUGUUUUGAUUAAACCACAAA
This is a long non-coding RNA of Raphanus sativus (radish), 1579 nucleotides long. RefSeq lists it as uncharacterized. The transcript is spliced from 5 exons. NCBI's taxonomy places the organism in Eukaryota, Viridiplantae, Streptophyta, Magnoliopsida, Brassicales, Brassicaceae. The record is from RefSeq and is a predicted model, not a curated record.